This 378-nucleotide ribosomal RNA is filed under the name uncultured organism. RNAcentral describes it as "partial 16S ribosomal RNA". It matches the Rfam family "Bacterial small subunit ribosomal RNA", at positions 526 to 896 of the family's 1533-position model. The record is from RNAcentral.
GUAGGGGGGCGAGCGUUGUCCGGGAUUUAUUGGGGCGUAAAGAGCUCGUAGGCGGUUGCGUAAGUCGGAUGUGAAAACUCAGGGGCUCAACCCUGAGAUGCCAUUCGAUACUGCGCUGACUGGAGUCCCGGUAGGGGAGCAUGGAAUUCCUGGUGUAGCGGUGAAAUGCGCAGAUAUCAGGAGGAACACCAGUGGCGAAGGCGGUGCUCUGGGCCGGUACUGACGCUGAGGAGCGAAAGCAUGGGUAGCAAACAGGAUUAGAUACCCUGGUAGUCCAUGCCGUAAACGUUGGGCACUAGGUGUGGGGCCUACUUAACGGGUUCCGUGCCGUAGCUAACGCAUUAAGUGCCCCGCCUGGGGAGUACGGCCGCAAGGCUA